This 333-nucleotide long non-coding RNA is filed under the name Vigna radiata. Its description in RNAcentral is "long non-coding RNA (VRAD_LNC011326)". The record is from RNAcentral. Lineage: Eukaryota; Viridiplantae; Streptophyta; Magnoliopsida; Fabales; Fabaceae.
AGUAUCCCUUCACAUCCACAAAAAACAUAUGUUCAAAGGGCUUGCUUCCACCAUCCGCAUGAAUUGCUACAGAAAAUUCAUUCGGAAGGAAACAUGACAAAACCCUGUCUACCAACUCGUUCAGGUUCACAACUUUAAAGUCGUAGCCCACAGUCUCAAAGCUUGCAUAACUGAAUCCAUCUUCAGGAGUAAUAUGAAUGGUAGAAACAGCACCCCCUUCAACAGAAUUCAUUGAAUAACCACAUGGCUCAAAGUCGAAAUCGCAUAUCUCAGAAUUCGGAAGAAUCUUUCUGAUGCCAGAGUUAACAGUCAUCAUGGCAGCUGAAGCAGAUU